GCGGAUCUGCUCGGUUCGUGUGCGGCCCUUUUCCAGUGGCCGAUAAGCAUUUCCGAGGGGGCUGGCUCUGCCGGGAUCCUGGUCCCGGUAUCUGGCGCCCACCUGAUACGUCAGGCUCUCGGGAAAUCACAGCCGCCACGGCUGCUGCGGUCCCCGC
RNAcentral lists this non-coding RNA (157 nucleotides) under Ruixingdingia sedimenti. RNAcentral describes it as "6S RNA". It matches the Rfam family "6S / SsrS RNA". From Rfam's summary of the family: E. coli 6S RNA was the first non coding RNA to be sequenced, but its function was unknown until recently. It consists of 184 nucleotides that fold into an extended hairpin structure with a large single-stranded internal bulge. The 6S RNA specifically associates with RNA polymerase holoenzyme containing the sigma70 specificity factor. The record is from RNAcentral. Lineage: Bacteria; Pseudomonadati; Pseudomonadota; Alphaproteobacteria; Rhodobacterales; Paracoccaceae.